UACGGAGGAUCCUAGCGUUGUCCGGAUUUAUUGGGUUUAAAGGGUGCGUAGGCGGAUUACUAAGUCAGAGGUGAAAGCCGGCAGCUUAACUGUCGAAUUGCCUUUGAAACUGGUAGUCUUGAAUACUGUUGAGGUGGGCGGAAUGUAUCAUGUAGCGGUGAAAUGCUUAGAUAUGAUACAGAACACCGAUUGCGAAGGCAGCUCACUAAGCAGUUAUUGACGCUGAGGCACGAAAGCGUGGGGAUCAAACAGGAUUAGAAACCCCCGUAGUCC
RNAcentral lists this ribosomal RNA (273 nucleotides) under uncultured bacterium. Its description in RNAcentral is "partial 16S ribosomal RNA". It matches the Rfam family "Bacterial small subunit ribosomal RNA", at positions 524 to 796 of the family's 1533-position model. The record is from RNAcentral.